ACCUACGGGAGGCAGCAGUCGAGAAUCAUUCACAAGGGGGGAAACCCUGAUGCAGCGACGCCCCGUGAGUGAAGAAGUAUUUCGGUAUGUAAAGCUCUGUCAGCAGGGAAGAAAGAAAUGACGGUACCUGACCAAGAAGCCCCGGCUAACUACGUGCCAGCAGCCGCGGUAAUACGUAGGGGGCAAGCGUUAUCCGGAAUUACUGGGUGUAAAGGGAGCGUAGACGGUUAAGUAAGUCUGGAGUGAAAGGCCGGGGCUCAACCCCGGGAC
RNAcentral lists this ribosomal RNA (270 nucleotides) under uncultured bacterium. RNAcentral's name for it is "partial 16S ribosomal RNA". It matches the Rfam family "Bacterial small subunit ribosomal RNA", at positions 337 to 621 of the family's 1533-position model. The record is from RNAcentral.